GGCUGAAACUCGCCUACCAUGAAGCUGGAAUUGCUAGUAAUCACAGGUCAGCAUACUGUGGUGAAUACGUUCCCGGGCCUUGUACACACCGCCCGUCACACCAUGAGAGUUGAGAAUACCCGAAGCCCAUGUCAAAGUGGUCGAAGGUAGGCUUGAUGAUUGGGGUGAAGUCGUAACAAGGUAGC
Molecule: ribosomal RNA, 185 nt
Filed under: uncultured bacterium
Lineage: Bacteria
Description: partial 16S ribosomal RNA
Rfam family: Bacterial small subunit ribosomal RNA
Source: RNAcentral